Molecule: ribosomal RNA, 570 nt
Filed under: uncultured Acidobacteriota bacterium
Lineage: Bacteria; Pseudomonadati; Acidobacteriota
Description: bacterial SSU rRNA
Rfam family: Bacterial small subunit ribosomal RNA
Source: RNAcentral
CAGGUCACUCCUACGGGAGGCAGCAGUGGGGAAUCUUGCACAAUGGGGGCAACCCUGAUGCAGCGACGCCGCGUGAGCGAUGAAGCCCUUCGGGGUGUAAAGCUCUUUCGGCAGGGAAGAUCUUGACGGUACCUGCAGAAGCAGCUGCGGCUAACUACGUGCCAGCAGCCGCGGUAAUACGUAGGCAGCAAGCGUUGUUCGGAGUUACUGGGCGUAAAGGGUGUGUAGGCGGUUCGUUAAGUCCUGUGUGAAAUCCCCCGGCUCAACUGGGGAACUGCACAGGAAACUGGCGGGCUUGAGUUCGGGAGAGGGAAGCGGAAUUCCGGGUGUAGCGGUGAAAUGCGUAGAUAUCCGGAGGAACACCGGUGGCGAAGGCGGCUUCCUGGACCGACACUGACGCUGAGGCGCGAAAGCUAGGGGAGCAAACGGGAUUAGAUACCCCGGUAGUCCUGGCCCUAAACGAUGAAUGCUUGGUGUGGCGGGUAUCGAUCCCUGCCGUGCCGAAGCUAACGCAUUAAGCAUUCCGCCUGGGGAGUACGGUCGCAAGGCUGAAACUUAAAGGAAUUGACG